UACGAGGGGGGCAAAUGUUGUUCGGAAUCACUGGGCGUAAAGGGAGCGUAGGCGGGUUUCUAAGUCAGGUGUUUAAUCCCGGGGCCCAACCCCGGACAGGCACUUGAAACUGGGAAUCUUGAAUAGUGAAGAGGUCAGUGGAAUUGGGGGUGUAGCGGUGGAAUGCGUAGAGAUCCCCAAGAACACCAGUUGCGAAGGCGGCUGACUGGACACAUAUUGACGCUGAGGCUCGAAAGCAUGGGGAGCAAACAGG
This 253-nucleotide ribosomal RNA is filed under the name uncultured bacterium. RNAcentral's name for it is "partial 16S ribosomal RNA". It matches the Rfam family "Bacterial small subunit ribosomal RNA", at positions 524 to 776 of the family's 1533-position model. The record is from RNAcentral.